GAUCCUGGCUCAGGACGAACGCUGGCGGCGUGCUUAACACAUGCAAGUCGAACGAUGAUGCCCAGCUUGCUGGGUGGAUUAGUGGCGAACGGGUGAGUAACACGUGAGUAACCUGCCCCUGACUCUGGGAUAAGCGUUGGAAACGACGUCUAAUACUGGAUAUGAUCACUGGCCGCAUGGUCUGGUGGUGGAAAGAUUUUUUGGUUGGGGAUGGACUCGCGGCCUAUCAGCUUGUUGGUGAGGUAAUGGCUCACCAAGGCGACGACGGGUAGCCGGCCUGAGAGGGUGACCGGCCACACUGGGACUGAGACACGGCCCAGACUCCUACGGGAGGCAGCAGUGGGGAAUAUUGCACAAUGGGCGAAAGCCUGAUGCAGCAACGCCGCGUGAGGGAUGACGGCCUUCGGGUUGUAAACCUCUUUUAGUAGGGAAGAAGCGAAAGUGACGGUACCUGCAGAAAAAGCACCGGCUAACUACGUGCCAGCAGCCGCGGUAAUACGUAGGGUGCAAGCGUUGUCCGGAAUUAUUGGGCGUAAAGAGCUCGUAGGCGGUUUGUCGCGUCUGCUGUGAAAUCCCGAGGCUCAACCUCGGGCUUGCAGUGGGUACGGGCAGACUAGAGUGCGGUAGGGGAGAUUGGAAUUCCUGGUGUAGCGGUGGAAUGCGCAGAUAUCAGGAGGAACACCGAUGGCGAAGGCAGAUCUCUGGGCCGUAACUGACGCUGAGGAGCGAAAGCAUGGGGAGCGAACAGGAUUAGAUACCCUGGUAGUCCAUGCCGUAAACGUUGGGCGCUAGAUGUAGGGACCUUUCCACGGUUUCUGUGUCGUAGCUAACGCAUUAAGCGCCCCGCCUGGGGAGUACGGCCGCAAGGCUAAAACUCAAAGGAAUUGACGGGGGCCCGCACAAGCGGCGGAGCAUGCGGAUUAAUUCGAUGCAACGCGAAGAACCUUACCAAGGCUUGACAUACACCGGAAACGGCCAGAGAUGGUCGCCCCCUUGUGGUCGGUGUACAGGUGGUGCAUGGUUGUCGUCAGCUCGUGUCGUGAGAUGUUGGGUUAAGUCCCGCAACGAGCGCAACCCUCGUUCUAUGUUGCCAGCGGGUUAUGCCGGGGACUCAUAGGAGACUGCCGGGGUCAACUCGGAGGAAGGUGGGGAUGACGUCAAAUCAUCAUGCCCCUUAUGUCUUGGGCUUCACGCAUGCUACAAUGGCCGGUACAAAGGGCUGCGAUACCGUAAGGUGGAGCGAAUCCCAAAAAGCCGGUCUCAGUUCGGAUUGAGGUCUGCAACUCGACCUCAUGAAGUCGGAGUCGCUAGUAAUCGCAGAUCAGCAACGCUGCGGUGAAUACGUUCCCGGGCCUUGUACACACCGCCCGUCAAGUCAUGAAAGUCGGUAACACCCGAAGCCGGUGGCCUAACCCUUGUGGAAGGAGCCGUCGAAGGUGGGAUCGGUGAUUAGGACUAAGUCGUAACAAGGUAGC
This 1475-nucleotide ribosomal RNA is filed under the name Curtobacterium sp. Its description in RNAcentral is "bacterial SSU rRNA". It matches the Rfam family "Bacterial small subunit ribosomal RNA". The record is from RNAcentral. Lineage: Bacteria; Bacillati; Actinomycetota; Actinomycetes; Micrococcales; Microbacteriaceae.